CCUACGGGAGGCAGCAGUGAGGAAUAUUGGUCAAUGGACGAGAGUCUGAACCAGCCAAGUAGCGUGAAGGAUGACUGCCCUAUGGGUUGUAAACUUCUUUUAUAAAGGAAUAAAACGAGGCACGUGUGCCUUUUUGCAUGUACUUUAUGAAUAAGGAUCGACUAACUCCGGGCCAGCAGCCGCGGUAAUACGGAGGAUCCGAGCGUUAUCCGGAAUUAGUGGGUUUAAAGGGAGCGUAGAUGGGUUGUUAAGUCAGAUGUGAAAGUUUGCGGCUCAACCGUAAAAGUGCAAUUGAAACUGGCAGUCUAGAGUACAGUUGAGGUAGGCAGAAUUCGUGGUGUAGCGGUGAAAUGCUUAGAUAUCACGAAGAACACCGAUUGCGAAGGCAGCUUACUAAACUGUGACUGACAUUGAUGCUCGAAAGUGUGGGUAGCAAACAGGAUUAGAUACCCCAGUAGUC
This 460-nucleotide ribosomal RNA is filed under the name uncultured bacterium. RNAcentral's name for it is "partial 16S ribosomal RNA". It matches the Rfam family "Bacterial small subunit ribosomal RNA", at positions 338 to 795 of the family's 1533-position model. The record is from RNAcentral.